Molecule: ribosomal RNA, 616 nt
Filed under: uncultured bacterium
Lineage: Bacteria
Description: bacterial SSU rRNA
Rfam family: Bacterial small subunit ribosomal RNA
Source: RNAcentral
CCUACGGGAGGCAGCAGUAGGGAAUCUUCCGCAAUGGACGAAAGUCUGACGGAGCAACGCCGCGUGAACGAUGAAGGCCUUCGGGUCGUAAAGUUCUGUUGUUAGGGAAGAACAAGUGCUAGUUAAAUAAGCUGGCACCUUGACGGUACCUAACCAGAAAGCCACGGCUAACUACGUGCCAGCAGCCGCGGUAAUACGUAGGUGGCAAGCGUUGUCCGGAAUUAUUGGGCGUAAAGCGCGCGCAGGCGGUUUCUUAAGUCUGAUGUGAAAGCCCCCGGCUCAACCGGGGAGGGUCAUUGGAAACUGGGAAACUUGAGUGCAGAAGAGGAAAGUGGAAUUCCAAGUGUAGCGGUGAAAUGCGUAGAGAUUUGGAGGAACACCAGUGGCGAAGGCGACUUUCUGGUCUGUAACUGACGCUGAGGCGCGAAAGCGUGGGGAGCAAACAGGAUUAGAUACCCUGGUAGUCCACGCUGUAAACGAUGAGUGCUAAGUGUUAGAGGGUUUCCGCCCUUUAGUGCUGAAGUUAACGCAUUAAGCACUCCGCCUGGGGANCGGUCGCAAGCUGAAACUCAAAGGAAUUGACGGCUGAGAGNGCGACGCGACGACGAGGGAGAGG